Molecule: non-coding RNA, 181 nt
Filed under: Pediococcus stilesii
Lineage: Bacteria; Bacillati; Bacillota; Bacilli; Lactobacillales; Lactobacillaceae
Description: Lysine sequence
Rfam family: Lysine riboswitch aptamer
About the family: Riboswitches are metabolite binding domains within certain messenger RNAs that serve as precision sensors for their corresponding targets.
Source: Rfam by way of RNAcentral
AAUUAAAAAAGAGGUUGCGGAGAUUAAAAGUAACUGAGGAAGAGGAUGAAGGAUCCGAUGAAGCCCAGUGAAAGGAUGAUCCGCCGAAAUGGUUAGCGUACCUUCUGCGAUAACCGUUGGGUCUUGAAAGAAUAUUUCAAGGACUGUCGCUAUUUUAUAAUAGCGGGGUGCUUUUCAAAUC